RNAcentral lists this long non-coding RNA (326 nucleotides) under Rosa chinensis. Its description in RNAcentral is "sRNA RchiOBHm_Chr5g0037321". Lineage: Eukaryota; Viridiplantae; Streptophyta; Magnoliopsida; Rosales; Rosaceae. The record is from RNAcentral.
UGCUCUGUAUUAGGAUCAAGGGCCAGAUUUUAGCAUCAGAGUCUUAUGCAAGACUAUGAGAAGCCGCAGAAGCUGGAUUUGAGUUGAAGAAUGAGUAAUCGGUUUUGAAUAGAGAUGAUGAAGGAGGAGAAGGGAAGGACGACAAAGGGGAGAAACAGGAGGAAGAUUGAGACUUGAAUAGAAGAGCAGAAAAAGGAGGAGGAGAAGAAGAGAAACAGAAGGAGAAGAAGUGUGAUCAAUAAAAUAUACAUUUAUUUUAACUGAUGGGUUGGAGUGUAAAUAUAACAAAAUUGUCAAAUACCACAUCAUCUGUCAAAUUUAAAUUU